Equus quagga is the source of this 357-nucleotide long non-coding RNA. RefSeq lists it as uncharacterized. The transcript is spliced from 3 exons. Lineage: Eukaryota; Metazoa; Chordata; Mammalia; Perissodactyla; Equidae. The record is from RefSeq and is a predicted model, not a curated record.
CUAAGGGGGACACUGAGCAAGGCUGAGAAGCAGGAGAAGGAGAGAAAAGCCUUUCCUGGGAACCAGGCAGGAGAAGGCGAGAUGCACGCACACAUCCACGCCGGGCUGACUCCACAGAAAACCAGCUCCCAUCAACAUGUCAGGACUGUCAGAGUUUUCUGGAAGGUUUUGUUCUGACUGGGGGUUUCUUGACCUGGGGUCCACGGACAAAGAAUGCCAUGGUUCGGAGAACACCUGGGGACUUGGAAGGGAAGGAAAACUCCCAAGAAACGAUUCUACAAAGGGGAGUGGGUGUGGAAUAAGGAGGCGCUCUGAAUUUAUCUCGUUUGUCAUCCCCAACCUUCAAGACAAACUCUG